GACCCCAUCGUCUAAAGGAAUAAGGAUACCGCCCUUUCACGGCGGUGAUGCGGGUUUGAAUCCCGCUGGGGUCGCCA
Molecule: transfer RNA, 77 nt
Filed under: Campylobacterota bacterium
Lineage: Bacteria; Pseudomonadati; Campylobacterota
Description: Epsilonproteobacteria bacterium (hydrothermal vent metagenome) tRNA-Glu
Rfam family: tRNA
About the family: Transfer RNA (tRNA) molecules are approximately 80 nucleotides in length. Their secondary structure includes four short double-helical elements and three loops (D, anti-codon, and T loops).
Source: RNAcentral